AACGAACGCUGGCGGCGUGCUUAACACAUGCAAGUCGAGCGGGAAAACGGGGCUUCGGCCCUGUGAGUAGAGCGGCGAACGGGUGAGUAACACGUGAGUAACGUACCCUGAGGUUGGGGAUAACAGUGCGAAAGCGCUGCUAAUACCGGAUAAGCUCACGGUGUCUUCGGACACAGGGAGAAAAGCGGGCCUCUGACAUAAGCUCGCGCCUCGGGAUCGGCUCGCGGCCCAUUAGCUUGUUGGUAGGGUAACGGCCUACCAAGGCUACGAUGGGUAGCUGGUCUGAGAGGAUGAUCAGCCACACUGGAACUGAGACACGGUCCAGACUCCUACGGGAGGCAG
RNAcentral lists this ribosomal RNA (342 nucleotides) under uncultured Pseudomonadota bacterium. RNAcentral's name for it is "bacterial SSU rRNA". It matches the Rfam family "Bacterial small subunit ribosomal RNA", at positions 29 to 351 of the family's 1533-position model. The record is from RNAcentral. Lineage: Bacteria; Pseudomonadati; Pseudomonadota.